Molecule: ribosomal RNA, 253 nt
Filed under: uncultured bacterium
Lineage: Bacteria
Description: partial 16S ribosomal RNA
Rfam family: Bacterial small subunit ribosomal RNA
Source: RNAcentral
UACGUAGGGUGCGAGCGUUACUCGGAAUUACUGGGCGUAAAGCGUGCGCAGGCGGUAAGUUAAGUCUGAUGUGAAAGCCCCGGGCUCAACCUGGGAACGGCAUUGGAAACUGGCUUGCUGGAGUGUGGCAGAGGGGGGUGGAAUUCCGCGUGUAGCAGUGAAAUGCGUAGAGAUGCGGAGGAACACCGAUGGCGAAGGCAGCCCCCUGGGCCAACACUGACGCUCAGGCACGAAAGCGUGGGGAGCAAACAGG